UACGUAGGGUCCGAGCGUUGUCCGGAAUUACUGGGCGUAAAGAGCUCGUAGGUGGUUUGUCGCGUUGUUCGUGAAAACUCACAACUCAAUUGUGGGCGUGCGGGCGAUACGGGCAGACUUGAGUACUGCAGGGGAGACUGGAAUUCCUGGUGUAGCGGUGGAAUGCGCAGAUAUCAGGAGGAACACCGGUGGCGAAGGCAGCACUCUGGGCCGGUACUGACGCUGAGGAGCGAAAGCAUGGGGAGCGAACAGG
RNAcentral lists this ribosomal RNA (253 nucleotides) under uncultured bacterium. Its description in RNAcentral is "partial 16S ribosomal RNA". It matches the Rfam family "Bacterial small subunit ribosomal RNA", at positions 524 to 776 of the family's 1533-position model. The record is from RNAcentral.